UACGUAGGGGGCAAGCGUUGUCCGGAUUUAUUGGGCGUAAAGAGCGUGUAGGCGGCUAGGUAGGUCCGCUGUGAAAACUUGAGGCUCAACCUCAAGAGGUCGGUGGAAACCAUCUGGCUAGAGUCCGGAAGAGGAGAGUGGAAUUCCCGGUGUAGCGGUGAAAUGCGCAGAUAUCGGGAAGAACACCCGUGGCGAAGGCGGCUCUCUGGGACGGUACUGACGCUGAGACGCGAAAGCGUGGGGAGCGAACAGG
This 253-nucleotide ribosomal RNA is filed under the name uncultured bacterium. Its description in RNAcentral is "partial 16S ribosomal RNA". It matches the Rfam family "Bacterial small subunit ribosomal RNA", at positions 524 to 776 of the family's 1533-position model. The record is from RNAcentral.